RNAcentral lists this ribosomal RNA (500 nucleotides) under uncultured bacterium. Its description in RNAcentral is "partial 16S ribosomal RNA". It matches the Rfam family "Bacterial small subunit ribosomal RNA", at positions 29 to 523 of the family's 1533-position model. The record is from RNAcentral.
AUUGAACGCUGGCGGAAUGCUUUACACAUGCAAGUCGAACGGCAGCACGGGGGCAACCCUGGUGGCGAGUGGCGAACGGGUGAGUAAUACAUCGGAACGUGCCCAGUCGUGGGGGAUAACGUAGCGAAAGUUACGCUAAUACCGCAUACGAUCUAUGGAUGAAAGCGGGGGACCGUAAGGCCUCGCGCGAUUGGAGCGGCCGAUGUCGGAUUAGGUAGUUGGUGGGGUAAAGGCCCAGCAAGCCGGCGAUCUGUAGCUGGUCUAAACGGACGACCAACCACACUGUGACGGAGACACGGCCCAGACUCCUACGGGAGGCAGCAGUGGAGAAUUUUGGACAAUGGGCGCAAGCCUGAUCCAGCCAUGCCGCGUGCAGGUCGAAGGCCUUCGGGUUGUAAAGUGCUGUUGUACGGAACGAAAAGGUCCUGAUUAAUACCCGGGGCUCAUGACGGUACCGUAAGAAUAAGCACCGGCUAACUACGUGCCAGCAGCCGCGGUAA